ACUCCUACGGGAGGCAGCAGUGGGGAAUAUUGGACAAUGGGCGAAAGCCUGAUCCAGCCAUGCCGCGUGUGUGAAGAAGGUCUUCGGAUUGUAAAGCACUUUAAGUUGGGAGGAAGGGCAGUAAAUUAAUACUUUGCUGUUUUGACGUUACCGACAGAAUAAGCACCGGCUAACUCUGUGCCAGCAGCCGCGGUAAUACAGAGGGUGCAAGCGUUAAUCGGAAUUACUGGGCGUAAAGCGCGCGUAGGUGGUUAGUUAAGUUGGAUGUGAAAUCCCCCGGGCUCAACCUGGGAACUGCAUUCAAAACUGACUGACUAGAGUAUGGUAGAGGUGGUGGAAUUUCCUGUGUAGCGGUGAAAUGCGUAGAUAUAGGAAGGAACACCAGUGGCGAAGGCGACACCUGGACUGAUACUGACACUGAGGUGCGAAAGCGUGGGAGCAAACAGGAUUAGAUACCCCUGGUAGCGACUGA
Molecule: ribosomal RNA, 472 nt
Filed under: uncultured bacterium
Lineage: Bacteria
Description: bacterial SSU rRNA
Rfam family: Bacterial small subunit ribosomal RNA
Source: RNAcentral